Molecule: ribosomal RNA, 501 nt
Filed under: uncultured bacterium
Lineage: Bacteria
Description: bacterial SSU rRNA
Rfam family: Bacterial small subunit ribosomal RNA
Source: RNAcentral
AGAGUUUGAUCCUGGCUCAGGAUGAACGCUGGCGGCAUGCCUAAGACAUGCAAGUCGAACGAGGGGACCCAACAAUUAUGAAGUACUUGUACGGAUUAUGCGAUGGAUUCACACCUAGUGGCGAACGGGUGAGUAACGGGUAGGCAACCUGCCCUCAAGACGGGGAUACCAGUUGGAAACGACUGUUAAUACCGGAUAGUAUACAAUAUCGCAUGGUAAUGUAUUUAAAGGAGCUUCGGCUUCACUUGAGGAUGGGCCUGCUUUGUAUUAGAUAGUUGGUGAGGUAAUGGCUCACCAAGUCAACGAUGCAUAGCCGAACUGAGAGGUUGAACGGCCACACUGGAACUGAGACACGGUCCAGACUCCUACGGGAGGCAGCAGUUAGGGAUAUUGGGCAAUGGAGGAAACUCUGACCCAGCAAUGCCGCGUGAGUGAAGAAGUAUUUCGGUAUGUAAAACUCUGUUGUAUGGGAGGAAAGAACUAGUAGGAAAUGGCUAGGAG